RNAcentral lists this ribosomal RNA (681 nucleotides) under uncultured delta proteobacterium kpj326rc. RNAcentral's name for it is "bacterial SSU rRNA". It matches the Rfam family "Bacterial small subunit ribosomal RNA", at positions 813 to 1500 of the family's 1533-position model. Lineage: Bacteria; Deltaproteobacteria. The record is from RNAcentral.
GCACUAGAUAUGGACUGUUGACCGGUUCCGUGUCAAAGUAACGCAUUAAGUGCUCCGCCUGGGAGUACGGUCGCAAGACUUAAACUCAAAGAAUUGACGGGGGCCGCCCAAGCGGUGGAUUAUGUGGUUUAAUUCGAAGCAACGCGCAGACCCUUACCUGGGCUUGAACUCCUAGGAACCUUGCCCAAAAGCGAGGGUGCCCUUCGGGGAAUCUAGUGAGAGGCGCUGCAUGGCUGUCGUCAGCUCGUGUCAUGAGAUGUUGGGUUAAGUCUCGCAACGAGCGCAACCCCUAUCCUUAGUUGCCAGCAUUAAGUUGGGCACUCUAGAGAGACUGCCUGGGCUAACCAGGAGGAAGGUGGGGAUGACGUCAAGUCCUCAUGGCCCUUAUGUCCAGGGCUACACACGUAAUACAAUGGUGCAUACAGAGGGACGCGACCCUGCGAAGGUGAGCAAAUCUCAAAAAGUGCAUCUCAGUCCGGAUUGGAGUCUGCAACUCGACUCCAUGAAGUUGGAAUCGCUAGUAAUCGUGGAUCAGCACGCCACGGUGAAUACGUUCCCGGGCCUUGUACACACCGCCCGUCACACCAUGGGAGUUGAUCUUACCUGAAGCCGUGACCCUAACUUCGGAAGGGAGCGUCUACGGUCGGAUCGAUGACUGGGGUGAAGUCGUAACAAGGUAGC